GAAUUAUUAUCAGGUUAUCACCCUUAUUUUGGAGAAAAAAAUUCAAAUAGCAACGUUCAUAGCCUCUGAACCUGGCACCUCUCUUCUCCUGCUCUCUGUAGGCAUCCAUCCUCUUCUCUAUUGCUAUUGCCGAUCUGAAUUAACCUCUCCGCUGGCGCCGUCAGAAUUAACUGGUCUCUCCGUUGGUGACACGGAUAUCGGCUAUAAAUUUAGCGGACCUGCAGAGAAAGAGUUUUUAACUUACAAGAAGUAGCAACUGCCGAGCAAGCAUUCCUCUCAUUCACUCGCCUCGAGGCAGUUCACAUAUAUGAAUACGGCAGCAAGCAGCGGAGCCAUGAAACUGCAGCCGCACAAGGCUUACAGGACUCGCCAAUCGGGCUCUUCGGCAAAAAGAAACCCAAAUCUGAAUUUAAAUAAACAAUAUUAUUCCUUUGCUUUUGCUGAUUUUAAUUAUCAUUUAUUGUUAUUAUCAUCUAACAGGCAUUUGGUUUUACUUCAUCUGUGAAAGCCAAGCGAUCACAGAUGCGAGCGACAGAGAAAGAGCAACGUCGGCUACACAUUCCGACUAUAGACCGCUCUUAUGGUGAACCACCACCAUAUGUAGUUGUAGUUCAGGAACCACCCAGGUUUUGCAUUAUUAAUUUUGUUUAAAAAAAUAAAUUUCAUUUAUUAUGCCUUAAUUCAGUAAUAAAUUUUGAAAGUUUUAGAUGGUGAUUUUAAUUUAUGAAAUGGUGGUGGCAGAUUGGCUAGUCUUUGUUAGUAAAGUGUCUUAUUAAGCAUUACACUAAGCAUAAAGUACCUGAGGUUCGAGGACCUAUUAGUGUUGUAUCAGGUUAGGUUUGAUCUAGUUUAUGUAAUUUCUUUGUUAGAUUUGAAAUACAAUGGAAUUCA
Molecule: long non-coding RNA, 891 nt
Filed under: Citrus sinensis (sweet orange)
Lineage: Eukaryota; Viridiplantae; Streptophyta; Magnoliopsida; Sapindales; Rutaceae
Description: long non-coding RNA (CSIN_LNC002664)
Source: RNAcentral